This 253-nucleotide ribosomal RNA is filed under the name uncultured bacterium. RNAcentral's name for it is "partial 16S ribosomal RNA". It matches the Rfam family "Bacterial small subunit ribosomal RNA", at positions 524 to 776 of the family's 1533-position model. The record is from RNAcentral.
UACAGAGGUCUCAAGCGUUGUUCGGAUUCAUUGGGCGUAAAGGGUGCGUAGGCGGCGCGGUAAGUCGGGUGUGAAAUCUUGGAGCUUAACUCCGAAACUGCAUUCGAUACUGCCGUGCUUGAGGACUGGAGAGGAGACUGGAAUUUACGGUGUAGCGGUGAAAUGCGUAGAUAUCAAGAGGAACACCUGAGGUGAAGACGGGUUGCUGGGCCAACACUGACGCUGAGGCGCGAAAGCCAGGGGAGCAAACGGG